RNAcentral lists this transfer RNA (90 nucleotides) under Thermincola carboxydiphila. Its description in RNAcentral is "tRNA-Ser". It matches the Rfam family "tRNA". Rfam says of the family: Transfer RNA (tRNA) molecules are approximately 80 nucleotides in length. Their secondary structure includes four short double-helical elements and three loops (D, anti-codon, and T loops). Further hydrogen bonds mediate the characteristic L-shaped molecular structure. tRNAs have two regions of fundamental functional importance: the anti-codon, which is responsible for specific mRNA codon recognition, and the 3' end, to which the tRNAs corresponding amino acid is attached (by aminoacyl-tRNA synthetases). tRNAs cope with the degeneracy of the genetic code in two manners: having more than one tRNA (with a specific anti-codon) for a particular amino acid; and 'wobble' base-pairing, i.e. permitting non-standard base-pairing at the 3rd anti-codon position. Lineage: Bacteria; Bacillati; Bacillota; Clostridia; Eubacteriales; Thermincolaceae. The record is from RNAcentral. RNAcentral also lists the same sequence under 2 other names.
GGAGGGGUGUCCGAGCGGUUUAAGGAGGCGGUCUUGAAAACCGUUGAGCCCUUACGGGUUCCGUGGGUUCGAAUCCCACCUCCUCCGCCA